UAGGGAAUCUUCCGCAAUGGACGCAAGUCUGACGGAGCAACGCCGCGUGAGUGAAGAAGGAUUUCGGUUCGUAAAACUCUGUUGUUAGAGAAGAACAGCGCAUAGAGUAACUGUUAUGCGUGUGACGGUAUCUAACCAGAAAGCCACGGCUAACUACGUGCCAGCAGCCGCGGUAAUACGUAGGUGGCAAGCGUUGUCCGGAUUUAUUGGGCGUAAAGCGAGCGCAGGCGGUCAAUUAAGUCUGAUGUGAAAGCCCCCGGCUCAACCGGGGGGGGUCAUUGGAAACUGGUUGACUUGAGUGCAGAAGAGGAGAGUGGAAUUCCAUGUGUAGCGGUGAAAUGCGUAGAUAUAUGGAGGAACACCAGUGGCGAAGGCGACUCUCUGGUCUGUAACAGACGCUGAGGCUCGAAAGCGUGGGUAGCAAACAGG
This 429-nucleotide ribosomal RNA is filed under the name Bacteroidota bacterium. Its description in RNAcentral is "Bacteroidetes bacterium partial 16S ribosomal RNA". It matches the Rfam family "Bacterial small subunit ribosomal RNA", at positions 355 to 776 of the family's 1533-position model. The record is from RNAcentral. Lineage: Bacteria; Pseudomonadati; Bacteroidota.